GGUUUCGUGGUGUAGUUGGUUAUCUCGUCAGUCUAACACACUGAAGGUCCUCGGAUCGAGCCCGGGCGAAAUCA
This 74-nucleotide transfer RNA is filed under the name Colletotrichum falcatum. Its description in RNAcentral is "tRNA-Val". The record is from RNAcentral. Lineage: Eukaryota; Fungi; Ascomycota; Sordariomycetes; Glomerellales; Glomerellaceae.